CAGUAGCCGCGGGUAAUACGAAGGGGGCUAGCGUUGCCCGGAAUUACUGGGCGUAAAGGGCGCGUAGGCGGACAGUUCAGUCGGGGGUGAAAGCCCGGGGCUCAACCUCGGAAUUGCCUUCGAUACUGGCUGUCUUGAGUAUGAGAGAGGUGUGUGGAACUCCGAGUGUAGAGGUGAAAUUCGUAGAUAUUCGGAAGAACACCAGUGGCGAAGGCGACACACUGGCUCAUUACUGACGCUGAGGCGCGAAAGCGUGGGGAGCAAACAGGAUUAGAUACCCGUGUAGUCCCUGUCUCUUAUA
RNAcentral lists this ribosomal RNA (301 nucleotides) under uncultured bacterium. Its description in RNAcentral is "partial 16S ribosomal RNA". It matches the Rfam family "Bacterial small subunit ribosomal RNA", at positions 509 to 808 of the family's 1533-position model. The record is from RNAcentral.